RNAcentral lists this ribosomal RNA (380 nucleotides) under uncultured eukaryote. Its description in RNAcentral is "partial 18S ribosomal RNA". It matches the Rfam family "Eukaryotic small subunit ribosomal RNA", at positions 592 to 976 of the family's 1831-position model. The record is from RNAcentral.
CAAUAGCGUAUAUUAAAGUUGUUGCGGUUAAAAAGCUCGUAGUUGGAUUUCUGCUGAGAACGACCGGUCCGCCCUUUGGGUGUGUAUCUGGCUCUUUCUUGGCAUCUUCUUGGUGAACGUUGCUGCACUUGACUGUGUGGAGCGCUACCCAGGACUUUUACUUUGAGGAAAUUAGAGUGUUUCAAGCAGGCAUACGCCUUGAAUACAUUGGCAUGGAAUAAUAAGAUAGGACCUCGGUUCUAUUUUGUUGGUUUCUAGAGCUGAGGUAAUGAUUAAUAGGGAUAGUUGGGGGCAUUCGUAUUUAACUGUCAGAGGUGAAAUUCUUGGAUUUGUUAAAGACGGACUACUGCGAAANCANNNGCCAAGGAUGUUUNCAUNGA